CCUAACACAUGCAAGUCGAACGGUAACGCGAAGAGCUUGCUCUUUGGCGACGAGUGGCGGACGGGUGAGUAAUGCUUAGGAAUCUGCCCAGUAGUGGGGGACAACAUUCGGAAACGGAUGCUAAUACCGCAUACGCCUACGGGGGAAAGCCGGGGGAUCUUCGGACCUCGCGCUAAUGGAUGAGCCUAAGUCGGAUUAGCUUGUUGGUGAGGUAAGGGCUCACCAAGGCGACGAUCCGUAGCUGGUCUGAGAGGACGAUCAGCCACACUGGGACUGAGACACGGCCCAGACUCCUACGGGAGGCAGCAGUGGGGAAUAUUGCACAAUGGGCGCAAGCCUGAUGCAGCAAUGCCGCGUGUGUGAAGAAGGCCUGCGGGUUGUAAAGCACUUUCAGUAGAGAAGAAAAGCCUACGGUUAAUACCCGUGAGUCUUGACGUAACCUACAGAAGAAGCACCGGCUAACUCCGUG
This 469-nucleotide ribosomal RNA is filed under the name uncultured bacterium. Its description in RNAcentral is "bacterial SSU rRNA". It matches the Rfam family "Bacterial small subunit ribosomal RNA", at positions 47 to 507 of the family's 1533-position model. The record is from RNAcentral.